RNAcentral lists this small RNA (127 nucleotides) under Marmota monax (woodchuck). Lineage: Eukaryota; Metazoa; Chordata; Mammalia; Rodentia; Sciuridae. The record is from RNAcentral.
GCCAGGUGCGGUGGUGCAUGCCUGUAAUCCCAGCAGCUUGGGAGGCUGAAGCAGGAGGAUCAUGAGUUUAAAGCCAGCCUCAGCAACUUAUCGAGGAACUUCGUAACUCAGUGAGAUCCUGUCUCUA